Long non-coding RNA from Chelonia mydas (Green sea turtle), 2456 nucleotides. RefSeq lists it as uncharacterized. The record is from RefSeq and is a predicted model, not a curated record. Lineage: Eukaryota; Metazoa; Chordata; Testudines; Cheloniidae. The transcript has 2 exons.
CUAGAGAGAGAAAGGGGGUCUUGGCAAAUGCCUGCAGAAAGUAAGAAGGUUUCUACAGAGCCCUGAGUUGAAGAGAGUCACCAGCAGGGAAGGAGGGCUGCCUGAGGACCCUUCCCAACCCAGGGCGGAGUGUCCAGCUGAGGGAAGUUGAUGGGAUCCAGAACAGCUCCCCGGAGGGGAACUGUGAGACUCCUCUGGUAGGAGGAGAGGACUUUGGAGACACGGAGGAGACAUCUCCACAGGCAGGAGGAACUGGGCCCAUCUGGGGAGUGGGCAGAAGAGCCUGUUUGUGUUUGAACUUUGAAAGGCACUUGAAAGAAAGGACAGAUCUUCAAGGAAGAGGGGCUGGGCCCAGCUUGAAACUGGGGUGAAGACUCUGAAGGAAGCUGGAUACCCAGGACCAGGCUUUGAAGCCCUCAUGUCUGCAGUGUGUUUGUGCCUGAGAGCCAUGAGCUCAUUGAAGACGUAGCCUGAGGCAUCUCCGUCCAGAUGCAGCCGGCAGAGGCCCCUGGUCCGGCUGUCUCUGCAGUACAGUUCAGUGGGUGGAGAUCCUCGGAUGGAAGUUACUACAGAAGCCUUAUCGUCGUUUCUUUUCACCAAGAUGCCAAACCCAUUCCUUACCCCCGCUGCCCCUGGCACCAACUCUCAGCGCCCGCACCUAGCAGCAGUGUGAGAUUUGCCUUCUGCCUUUCUCGCCCCCCGCAGCACGGUGAGUGAGCAGAUCCCUCGGUCCCACCAACGUUUCCUGCUCCUGUGACUCAAUGACGAAACCACAGGAUUUGGAGGAAGCCUUGUCACAUUGCUUGGGAUGGAAAAAACCGCUGGGCUUUGCCCUUUCUCCGAGAAGACAUCUGAGCCGGGUGGUGUCUUUCUUUCCAUCCAGUCAACGCAGCCGCUUGGAAGUUUCCUACCCCCGAUUCUUGUCUGACAUGUUUUCAUAACUAAACAACCAGCUGCUGAAGCCCUGAAAAUUAUUAGCCAAUUAGGGACUGACCUAAUUCCUGUAAUUCUAACUCAUUACAUUUUUAUAUACAUAUAAACAAUCCAAUCCCAAGAUUUGGUAUGAAGAUUCAGAUCUAAUAAUCCCAAAUGCCGGGUUAUUUUCCAUUCUGCCAGGCCUUCCCAACCCAGGCUGGGGGCGGGGUGGGCAGGCAUCAGUUCUGUCCCUCAUAGGACUAUCCAUUCAGAUAGUGAGCCAGACUCCUGUGGGACUGACCAACGCUGGGAGAGGCGAUGGGUCUGUCCCCUUCACUCACUGGUGUCCUGUGUGAGAUGAGUCGGGGGUUAGAGCUAGAUGGAAAAAUGGGUGAGUUGGGGCAGAAAUUUUUUUUUUUAUUUUUUAUUUGCAGCAUAAAUUCGAACGCUGAAAUAUUUUGGCCCAAAACCAAAAGAGGUCAAUGUGGCAGUGGUGCUGCAGUGCAUCAUGGGAGUUGUAGUUUGGGCGCGUCAAGCUUUCAUUCUCCCCUAUAUGCCAGGCUAUCUGCUCAGACUAUAUUCCCCAUGCUGCACCACGGGAAGGGCAGCCUGGUGCAUGAUGGGAGAUGCAGCCAGGUGGAAUUGUGACAUCAGAUGUAGCUGUCCCUGCUCCUUACUCUUCUGCCCCAUUUUAUGAUUCUCUUUCUCACCCGCGCUCCCAUUUUAGCUGCUACGGUAGGUCCAGCUCAGCACUGGGCUCGUGAUGUCAAUGUUAGUUCACCGCCACCCUGUCAUUUUAGUUAGUCUUCCACCUCCGCAGCUCAUUAACCUACUAAAAUCUCGUUUGCUGCAAUGAAAUCAGCAAAUUUAAUGUGAGCUCUAAUCCUGGAAGAAGCGUUGAAGUUAAAAAGGAUCCGGCUGAACUCUGUUACCUGGAGUGAGUCAGGCCUUGGCAGGUAUAACAUCGCCUGAAUGGCACACAGUCCUAACCCUGAAAGGAUCAGCCCUGCGUUCUCUGGGCCCAGCAGACCAUGUUUCCUGCUAGUACAGCUCCUAGCGAAUUUCCUCUCUUCACCGUCUCCGUUAGACCAUGGCUAGCAUCUUCCCGCUCUGGACUCCUCGUCUCCUCCUCGCCUCACUGCGGCUUAGACUGUACCUUUUCUUUGUCAUUAAAAGGGAAAGGAAUCCUUGGUUAGUGAUGCAGGCAGGCUGCUGAAUACGCCAUGGUCUGGUCCUCUUUCCCACUUGGUGCUUAUGUGUCCUUCACUUUCAAAGUGCACUGAAAAUGUUCCCGUGUUGAGCUGGGCAAACAUUUUGGGCUGAAACUUUUUUCCCCCCCAUGGUGAAAAAUGCAGGUUCAGUGAGCCCGAAGUGUGCUGCCAACUUGUGUCGGUUUUGCUGAAACUGUUCGCUUUUUAAAAAAAAAAAAAUCUGAAAAAGUUGAUUUUUCAGGUGGAAAAGACUUUGCAUUUAGACAUUUCCUUCCACUGCAUUUUUUUUCUGAAAUGCAAUAAAUAAGUAAAUAAAUGCUUGAAAUUGAA